GGUCCGGUUCGAUAGUGUAGCUGGUUUAUCACGCAAGUCUAACAGUCCUCUACUGUUGAGUACACUUGAGGUCCCAGGUUCGAGCCCUGGUCGAAUCAC
Non-coding RNA from Periconia digitata, 99 nucleotides. The record is from the annotation of a GenBank genome assembly. NCBI's taxonomy places the organism in Eukaryota, Fungi, Ascomycota, Dothideomycetes, Pleosporales, Periconiaceae.